GAUGAAGAACGUAGCGAAAUGCGAUAAGUAAUGUGAAUUGCAGAAUUCAGUGAAUCAUCGAAUCUUUGAACGCACAUUGCGCCCGCCAUUAUUCUGGCGGGCAUGCCUGUUCGAGCGUCAUUACAACCCUCAGGCCCCCGGGCCUGGCGUUGGGGAUCGGCGGAAGCCCCCUGCGGGCACAACGCCGUCCCCCAAAUACAGUGGCGGUCCCGCCGCAGCUUCCAUUGCGUAGUAGCUAACACCUCGCAACUGGAGAGCGGCGCGGCCACGCCGUAAAACACCCAACUUCUGAAUGUUGACCUCGAAUCAGGUAGGAAUACCCGCUGAACUUAAGCAUAUCAAUAAGCGGAGGA
Molecule: unclassified non-coding RNA, 353 nt
Filed under: soil metagenome
Description: partial contains 5.8S ribosomal RNA, internal transcribed spacer 2, and large subunit ribosomal RNA
Rfam family: 5.8S ribosomal RNA (bases 1-120)
Source: RNAcentral